Gregarina niphandrodes is the source of this 72-nucleotide transfer RNA. It matches the Rfam family "tRNA". From Rfam's summary of the family: Transfer RNA (tRNA) molecules are approximately 80 nucleotides in length. Their secondary structure includes four short double-helical elements and three loops (D, anti-codon, and T loops). NCBI's taxonomy places the organism in Eukaryota, Apicomplexa, Conoidasida, Eugregarinorida, Gregarinidae. The record is from Rfam.
GGACAUAUGGCAAAAUGACAGCGCGUUUGACUCCAGAUCAAACAGUAGGGCGUUCGACUCGCUCUGGGCUCA